This 497-nucleotide ribosomal RNA is filed under the name uncultured bacterium. RNAcentral's name for it is "partial 16S ribosomal RNA". It matches the Rfam family "Bacterial small subunit ribosomal RNA", at positions 28 to 507 of the family's 1533-position model. The record is from RNAcentral.
GAUGAACGCUGGCGGCGUGCCUAAUACAUGCCAGUCGAGCGAACAGACGAGGAGCUUGCUCCUCUGACGUUAGCGGCGGACGGGUGAGUAACACGUGGAUAACCUACCUGUAAGACUGGGAUAACUUCGGGAAACCGGAGCUAAUACCGGAUAAUAUAUUGAACCGCAUGGUUCAAUAGUGAAAGACGGUUUUGCUGUCACUUAUAGAUGGAUCCGCGCCGCAUUAGCUAGUUGGUAAGGUAACGGCUUACCAAGGCGACGAUGCGUAGCCGACCUGAGAGGGUGAUCGGCCACACUGGAACUGAGACACGGUCCAGACUCCUACGGGAGGCAGCAGUAGGGAAUCUUCCGCAAUGGGCGAAAGCCUGACGGAGCAACGCCGCGUGAGUGAUGAAGGUCUUCGGAUCGUAAAACUCUGUUAUUAGGGAAGAACAAAUGUGUAAGUAACUAUGCACGUCUUGACGGUACCUAAUCAGAAAGCCACGGCUAACUACGUG